CCUACGGGAGGCAGCAGUCGAGAAUCAUUCACAAUGGGGGAAACCCUGAUGGUGCGACGCCGCGUGGGGGAAUGAAGGUCUUCGGAUUGUAAACCCCUGUCAUGUGGGAGCAAAUUAAAAAGAUAGUACCACAAGAGGAAGAGACGGCUAACUCUGUGCCAGCAGCCGCGGUAAUACAGAGGUCUCAAGCGUUGUUCGGAAUCACUGGGCGUAAGGCGUGCGUAGGCUGUUUCGUAAGUCGUGUGUGAAAGGCGCGGGCUCAACCGGCGGACGGCACAUGAUACUGCGAGACUAGAGUAAUGGAGGGGGAACCGGAAUUCUCGGUGUAGCAGUGAAAUGCGUAGAUAUCGAGAGGAACACUCGUGGCGAAGGCGGGUUCCUGGACAUUAACUGACGCUGAGGCACGAAGGCCAGGGGAGCGAAAGGGAUUAGAUACCCGAGUAGUC
This 446-nucleotide ribosomal RNA is filed under the name uncultured bacterium. RNAcentral describes it as "partial 16S ribosomal RNA". It matches the Rfam family "Bacterial small subunit ribosomal RNA", at positions 338 to 795 of the family's 1533-position model. The record is from RNAcentral.